This 253-nucleotide ribosomal RNA is filed under the name uncultured bacterium. Its description in RNAcentral is "partial 16S ribosomal RNA". It matches the Rfam family "Bacterial small subunit ribosomal RNA", at positions 524 to 776 of the family's 1533-position model. The record is from RNAcentral.
UACGUAGGGUGCGAGCGUUGUCCGGAAUUAUUGGGCGUAAAGGGCUCGUAGGCGGUCUGUUGCGUCAGGAGUGAAAACUCGGGGCUUAACCCCGAGCCUGCUUCUGAUACGGGCAGACUAGAGGUAUGCAGGGGAGAACGGAAUUCCUGGUGUAGCGGUGAAAUGCGCAGAUAUCAGGAGGAACACCGGUGGCGAAGGCGGUUCUCUGGGCAUUACCUGACGCUGAGGAGCGAAAGCGUGGGGAGCGAACAGG